CCCAUCAGCUAGUUGGCGGGGUAAUGGCCCACCAAGGCUACGACGGGUAGCUGGUCUGAGAGGAUGAUCAGCCACACUGGAACUGAGACACGGUCCAGACUCCUACGGGAGGCAGCAGUGGGGAAUCUUGCGCAAUGGGCGAAAGCCUGACGCAGCAACGCCGCGUGUGUGAUGAAGGUCUUCGGAUCGUAAAGCACUGUCGCGAGGGACGAUACGCUACACGAUAACACCGUGGAGCUGAGACGGUACCUCGAGAGGAAGCACCGGCUAACUCUGUGCCAGCAGCCGCGGUAAUACAGAGGGUGCGAGCGUUGUUCGGAAUUAUUGGGCGUAAAGCGCUUGUAGGCGGCCUGUUAAGUCUCAUGUGAAAGCCCUCGGCUCAACCGAGGAAGUGCAUGAGAUACUGGGAGGCUUGAAUGCCGGAGAGGGUCGCGGAAUUCCCGGUGUA
Molecule: ribosomal RNA, 448 nt
Filed under: uncultured bacterium
Lineage: Bacteria
Description: bacterial SSU rRNA
Rfam family: Bacterial small subunit ribosomal RNA
Source: RNAcentral